GGGCGUUUACCACGGUGUGGUUCAUGACUGGGGUGAAGUCGUAACAAGGUAGCCCUAGGGGAACCUGGGGCUGGAUCACCUCCUUA
This 86-nucleotide ribosomal RNA is filed under the name Photobacterium rosenbergii. Its description in RNAcentral is "partial 16S ribosomal RNA". It matches the Rfam family "Bacterial small subunit ribosomal RNA", at positions 1448 to 1533 of the family's 1533-position model. The record is from RNAcentral. Lineage: Bacteria; Pseudomonadati; Pseudomonadota; Gammaproteobacteria; Vibrionales; Vibrionaceae.